This 1226-nucleotide ribosomal RNA is filed under the name metagenome. RNAcentral describes it as "bacterial LSU rRNA". It matches the Rfam family "Bacterial large subunit ribosomal RNA", at positions 1564 to 2800 of the family's 2925-position model. The record is from RNAcentral.
UGAGUACGAGAUGCUACGGCAUCGAAGCAGUCUAUGUCAUACUUCCAAGAAAAGCUUGCACUGUCAUAAACAAAGAAUGCCUGUACCAUAACCGACACAGGUGGGUAGGUAGAGUAUACUAAGGGGCGCGAGAUAACUCUCUCUAAGGAACUCGGCAAAAUGACUCCGUAACUUCGGGAGAAGGAGUGCCUUAUUUCUAAGGUUGCAAUAACAAGAUCCAAGCAACUGUUUACCAAAAACACAGGUCUCCGCUAAGUCGUAAGACGAUGUAUGGGGGCUGACGCCUGCCCAGUGCCAGAAGGUUAAAGAAGUUGGUUAGCAUUAGCGAAGCUGAUAACUGAAGCCCUGGUGAACGGCGGCCGUAACAAUAACGGUCCUAAGGUAGCGAAAUUCCUUGUCGGGUAAGUUCCGACCCGCACGAAAGGCGUAAUGAUUUGGAUACUGUCUCGGAGAGGGGCUCGGUGAAAUAGACUUGUCUGUGAAGAUGCGGACUACCUGCACCUGGACAGAAAGACCCUAUGAAGCUUUACUGUAACUUGAGAUUGAAAUUGGACUUUAUUUGCGCAGUAUAGGUGGGAGGCGUUGAGAAUAAUCUUGCGGGAUUGUUGGAGCCAUCAGUGAGAUACCACUCUUGUAAUGUUAGAUUUCUAACUUUGUAUCAUUAUCUGGUCAAAGAACAGUUUCAGGCGGGCAGUUUGACUGGGGCGGUCGCCUCCCAAAGGGUAACGGAGGCGCACAAAGGUUUCCUCUGAACGGGUAGAAAUCGUAUCUAGAGUGUAAAGGCAUAAGGAAGCUUGACUGUGAGACCUACAAGUCGAGCAGGGACGAAAGUCGGUCUUAGUGAUCUGACGGUGCUGAGUGGAAAGGCCGUCACUCAACGGAUAAAAGUUACUCUAGGAUAACAGGCUGAUCUCCCCCAAGAGUUCACAUCGACGGGGAGGUUUGGCACCUCGAUGUCGGCUCAUCGCAUCCUGGGGCGGUAGUCCGUCCCAAGGGUUGGGCUGUUCGCCCAUGAAAGCGGUACGCGAGCUGGGUUCAGAACGUCGUGAGACAGUUCGGUCCAUAUCCGGUGUAGGCGUUAGAAUAUUGAGAGGAGCCUUCUCUAGUACGAGAGGACCGAGAAGGACAUACCUCUGGCGUACCAGUUAUCGUGCCAACGGUAAACGCUGGGUAGCUAUGUAUGGAGUGGAUAACCGCUGAAAGCAUCUAAGUGGGAAGCCCACCUC